AGAGAAACUCCCAUCAGAUCAACUUCAACACCAACAUGUUCUCUGUAGCUCUGCUGCUGCUGGCUGCUGGAUCCUGUGUGAAGUGUGAACAGCUGACACAGCCAGCCUCUGAGACUGUGCAGCCAGGUCAACGUCUGACCAUCAGAUGUCAGGUCUCUUAUGAUCUAGGCAGCUACUACACAGCUUGGAUCAGACAGGCUGCUGGGAAAGGACUGGAGUGGAUUGGGAUGAAAUAUACUGGAAACUCAUACUACAAAGACUCCCUGAAGAACAAGUUCAGUAUUGACUUAGACACUUCCAGCAAAACAGUGACUCUGAAUGGACAGAAUAUGCAGCCUGAAGACUCUGCUGUUUAUUAUUGUGCCAGACUAGACCACAGUGACACAAACAAGCAGCAGAGCUGUACAAAAACCCCUCAGAACAGAUGUAAUAUAAAAUCACCAGAGGAGGCGCUCUUGAACCACAGCAGAAGAAGAGAAACUCCCACCAUCACCUUCAACACCAACAUGAUAUCUGUAGCUCUGCUGCUGCUGCUGGAUCCUAUAUAA
Girardinichthys multiradiatus is the source of this 548-nucleotide non-coding RNA. NCBI's taxonomy places the organism in Eukaryota, Metazoa, Chordata, Actinopteri, Cyprinodontiformes, Goodeidae. The record is from the annotation of a RefSeq genome assembly.